UAAGAAUAUUCCGCAAUGGACGAAAGUCUGACGGAGCGACGCCGCGUGGAUGAGGAAGGCCGAAAGGUUGUAAAGUCCUUUUGUCGAUGAAGAAUAAGCGGUGGAGGGAAUGCCAUCGUGAUGACGUUAGUCGGCGAAUAAGCCCCGGCUAAUUACGUGCCAGCAGCCGCGGUAACACGUAAGGGGCAAGCGUUGUUCGGAAUUAUUGGGCGUAAAGGGCGCGUAGGCGGACCUGCAAGCCCGGCGUGAAAUCCUGGAGCUUAACUCCGGAACUGCGCUGGGAACUGCGGGACUAGAGUCAUGGAGGGGGAGUUGGAAUUCCAGGUGUAGGGGUGAAAUCUGUAGAUAUCUGGAAGAACACCGGUGGCGAAGGCGAACUUCUAGCCAAUGACUGACGCUGAGGCGCGAAAGUGCGGGGAGCAAAC
This 425-nucleotide ribosomal RNA is filed under the name uncultured bacterium. RNAcentral's name for it is "bacterial SSU rRNA". It matches the Rfam family "Bacterial small subunit ribosomal RNA", at positions 356 to 773 of the family's 1533-position model. The record is from RNAcentral.